This 2206-nucleotide long non-coding RNA is filed under the name Homo sapiens (human). RNAcentral describes it as "HSALNT0212489". The record is from RNAcentral. Lineage: Eukaryota; Metazoa; Chordata; Mammalia; Primates; Hominidae.
AUAAUAUUGACAUGAAGAUGUUAAGUAUUUCAUGAAAAUACAUUAGGGUGAAAGCAAGUGUCAGUCUGUUCAAAAUGUAAUCAAUAUAUUAAUAAUCAACCAUGAGACAGAGACAGCAGCAAGGAUGGGGUAAAGGAGAUUAGCUCUCUUUCUCUGCCUGCUCUCCCUGGUAUUGAAAUCUGGCUAUACUUCUUCCCAGCUCUUGAGAAUUAUUGCAAAACUGGGUCAAUGAAUCAAAGUCAUGGAGUGGCAGAUUCCACCUCAAUGUAAGAAAGAACUUCUUUUUUUUUUGAGACAGAGUCUCACUCUGAAGUCUCCUCUUAAAGGGCUGUGCAAAACUCCAAACAGAAAGGCUUGGCUCUGAGAGAGCCAGAUCCCAAGUGCCCCAGGGUUGUAAUGAGUCUCCUCGCAUUAUUGAACAAACACCUCUAAGUCACCUUUUGCUGGAGGAAGCUUGGUCCUUACAGGAGGGCCUUAGAUUGGGCCCUGAUAAGGCAGCACAUCCUGUCUGCCUCCCUGUCCACACCCUCACAGCUGAGCCUGCUGCGGUUGCUGCUGACUUCAAAGGCACUGCUUCCCUUGGAUCCACAUCAAGGACUGGAAUGAGAAAAGGGUCCCCUGACCUUCUUAUAAUGGCACUGGCUGAGGCAGAAUGAAUACAGCUGCUGAUUCUGAUCUCACACUGGGUAUAUCCCUGAGUGCUGGAAAAAACAUCACCCUCAGAAGUGUGCAUUCAGCCAGCUGCCUUUGGAGAGAGCUGGGAAGGGUGCAAAGUGGCAUGUCCUUUACCAGUCACUCUUUCUGGGCCAAUGCUUAUCCAGAAAUGAGACAGAACUAUGGGUUUACUGCAAAUGACCAGCAUCCGCAAAGUGAUCAAGACUACCAACUUUGGUGUUCACUCUGCAAUGAAAAAAUGAACCAGCAGAAGGUGAAUGUGAAAGACUAAGAAGAGCCCUGCAGAAAACCCGUUAGCCCAUGUUUUCAUCUGUAAUGUGGAUGUGGGAUAGGAAGAGGGACAACGACAUAGUACCGACCAGGUUCCAGAAACUAUUCCAAGUGCUUUACGUGAUAAAAAUCUCUUAAUUGUCUCAACGACCAUACGAAGUAUAUCUCUAGUGUUGCCCCUAUUUUAUAGAUGACAAAACCUUACUGAUAUCUGUAUAGCUAGUAAGUAGGAGAGACAGGAUUCAAUCUGUCAGCCCAACUCUGCCGGUGCCCGUGUCCCUGCUCUGUGAUCCUGACAGGCAGCCACAGCCAGGAGUCCGUCCUUGUUUUAGAUAUUUCCCAUGUCUGCUGCUCAACUAGACCCUAACGGUGGAUUCUUGGUACAUCCUUACCCAAGGAUAACCCAUAAGUUUUCAUGACAUUACCACGGACUCGUCUUGCUUGUGAAACCAAGUAAUAGUAAAAACAGAAGAAUCAUGUGUUAAAAAUUUUUUGAAGUAAAUGAUUCUGUCAUCAUUAUUCUUAAAGAAAGUGAUGUACCCAAGGUCACACACUUAGUCACUGGUCAGUCCUGGGGCAAACACCCCUUGAUGUCCAGCCCUUGAGUCAGGAUGAUUGCUUCAUCUAGAAGGCACCAUGGGCACUCUGCCUGAAUCCAGGAACCUCUGGAGUUGUAUAUGGCUCUGUCCAAGACAAAGGAAUCCGCUGUACCAGAUCCACAGAAGCCCUGGCUCUAAAUUAAAAACAGCACAACAACAACAUUGCAGCAACAACAAAAUAGUAAUACAAUAAAAGGUGGGAAGACCUCGAGAGCAUAAAAAUUUCCUUAAACUGAUCAUCAAGGAAAGGAAAGGGAGGAUUCCUUCUUUAAAGAGGCAAGUGCCUGCCAGCAGGAACCUAAAACUCAUUAUUAUUCUGUAUUUUCUUUUUUCAUGACUAAAAAGUUUUUCUAUCCUCCCCCUUCCUAUCCCUAUCAAAAGACUACCCCCUCCACAAGACAAUCACAAACUUUAAAAGUAGCAAGCCCUCACUUCAAACAAAAUGUAAAAAUAAAAAUUCAAAAACCCAUAGUGUUUGCAAAACAGCUUUGUAUGGAGGAAGGGCAAAUCUUAUCUUAAGAGAGGCUAAUUUCAUAGGAAUCGGGCAAAGAGAGGAGAGGUAGAAAGGGUGGGAGCACAGAAGAAGGGGAGGCGGGAGAGGAGGGGAUAAAGGAGGAAGAAUCGCUGGCUUUAAAAAGCAACAUUGUCCAGAGAGGUGAAAG